RNAcentral lists this ribosomal RNA (408 nucleotides) under Amblyomma triste. RNAcentral describes it as "partial 16S ribosomal RNA". The record is from RNAcentral. Lineage: Eukaryota; Metazoa; Arthropoda; Arachnida; Ixodida; Ixodidae.
AGUAUUUUGACUAUACAAAGGUAUUGAAAUAAGACUUUAAUUGAGUGCUAAGAGAAUGGAAUUUCAUAAAAUUUCUUUUUUAAUUUUAAAAAUUGAAAUUAAUUUUAUAUGUGAAGAAACAAUAAUAAAAAUUAAGGACAAGAAGACCCUAAGAAUUUUAAAGAUUUUAAUAAAAUUUUGUAUUUUAUUGAAAUCUUUUAAUUGGGGCGAUUAUUAAAUAUUAAAAACUUUAAUUUUUUUAAAAAAGAACCAAUAAUAUUGGUUAUUUGAAAAAAUACUCUAGGGAUAACAGCGUAAUAAUUUUUGAUAGUUCUUAUAGACAAAAUAGUUUGCGACCUCGAUGUUGGAUUAGGAUUCUUUUUUAAUGAAGAAGUUAAAAAAAGAAGUUUGUUCAACUUUUAAAAUCCU